GACGAACGCUGGCGGCGUGCUUAACACAUGCAAGUCGAACGGAAAGGCCCUGCUUUUGUGGGGUGCUCGAGUGGCGAACGGGUGAGUAACACGUGAGUAACCUGCCCUUGACUUUGUGAUAACUUCAGGAAACUGGGGCUAAUACCGGAUAGGAGCUCCUGCUGCAUGGUGGGGGUUGGAAAGUUUCGGCGGUUGUGGAUGGACUCGCGGCUUAUCAGCUUGUUGGUGUGGUAGUGGCUUACCAAGGCUUUGACGGGUAGCCGGCCUGAGAGGGUGACCGGCCACAUUGGGACUGAGAUACGGCCCAGACUCCUACGGGAGGCAGCAGUGGGGAAUAUUGCACAAUGGGCGGAAGCCUGAUGCAGCAACGCCGCGUGCGGGAUGACGGCCUUCGGGUUGUAAACCGCUUUCGCCUGUGACGAAGCGUGAGUGGCGGUAAUGGGUAAAGAAGCACCGGCUAACUACGUG
Molecule: ribosomal RNA, 468 nt
Filed under: uncultured bacterium
Lineage: Bacteria
Description: partial 16S ribosomal RNA
Rfam family: Bacterial small subunit ribosomal RNA
Source: RNAcentral